This 583-nucleotide ribosomal RNA is filed under the name Candida tropicalis. Its description in RNAcentral is "eukaryotic LSU rRNA". It matches the Rfam family "Eukaryotic large subunit ribosomal RNA", at positions 69 to 664 of the family's 3401-position model. The record is from RNAcentral. Lineage: Eukaryota; Fungi; Ascomycota; Pichiomycetes; Serinales; Debaryomycetaceae.
CAUGGCAUGCCUUAGUAGCGGCGAGUGAGCGGCAAAGCUCAAAUUUGAAAUCUGGCUCUUUCAGAGUCCGAGUUGUAAUUUGAAGAAGGUAUCUUUGGGUCUGGCUCUUGUCUAUGUUUCUUGGAACAGAACGUCACAGAGGGUGAGAAUCCCGUGCGAUGAGAUGAUCCAGGCCUAUGUAAAGUUCCUUCGAAGAGUCGAGUUGUUUGGGAAUGCAGCUCUAAGUGGGUGGUAAAUUCCAUCUAAAGCUAAAUAUUGGCGAGAGACCGAUAGCGAACAAGUACAGUGAUGGAAAGAUGAAAAGAACUUUGAAAAGAGAGUGAAAAAGUACGUGAAAUUGUUGAAAGGGAAGGGCUUGAGAUCAGACUUGGUAUUUUGUAUGUUACUUCUUCGGGGGUGGCCUCUACAGUUUAUCGGGCCAGCAUCAGUUUGGGCGGUAGGAGAAUUGCGUUGGAAUGUGGCACGGCUUCGGUUGUGUGUUAUAGCCUUCGUCGAUACUGCCAGCCUAGACUGAGGACUGCGGUUUAUACCUAGGAUGUUGGCAUAAUGAUCUUAAGUCGCCCGUCUUGAACCAACGGGACCA